GCCUUCGUGGUGCAAUGUUAGCACACUCGACACUUAUUCGAGAGGUCCAGGUUCGAGUCCCCUCGAGGGCA
Non-coding RNA from Stegodyphus mimosarum, 71 nucleotides. Lineage: Eukaryota; Metazoa; Arthropoda; Arachnida; Araneae; Eresidae. The record is from Rfam.